Marmota monax (woodchuck) is the source of this 8782-nucleotide long non-coding RNA. RefSeq lists it as uncharacterized. The record is from RefSeq and is a predicted model, not a curated record. The transcript has 3 exons. Lineage: Eukaryota; Metazoa; Chordata; Mammalia; Rodentia; Sciuridae.
UACAUAAUGAUAAUCUGUGGAUUUGCAUUUGUUUCAACCUAUUAGCCUUGGAGGAGGGCAAGGGGCCAGAGCUGCCCUUUGCACCAUUUAGCUGGGGCCCUGGAGCAGUGGUGGUGCAGGUUUAAACAACCUUAUUAUGAAACACCGACAGCUUUAGCUAAUAAAACCCUCUCCUGGCCCAACUCUCUCUUCAUUUGGAAAGAACAGGAAGUUGCAAUAGUAUCUCUUUGAGAGAAGCAGGUUGAUAAACCAGGAGGUGGAGACUGGGUAUGUGGAGGGCAAGAAUCAAGUUUAUCUUUAAUCUAGAUAACCAAGAGUCGCAGGCACUCCUUGCACCUGGGCGUUCCUGUGCCCAGAGGCCAGCAGCACCGGACCCCCAACAUACCUGAGGAAUCUAUUCCUCAAGAUCACAUCUGCUCUGCCUAAGCUCCUCCGAGUUCAAAUAUAUCUUCAACUCCCUGCCAUUGGACAUCCCCCGAAUGAGGAAGACACACCUCAAACUCAGGGUGUCUAAAGAGGACUUGUUUCCUUUCCCCAAACCUGGCCUUUCUUGUCCAUUGCUCUAUUUUGGAUGAAGGCUCCAUCAUCGACCUGAGAGACUUUCCUCUGCUCUCUCUCUAUUGUUCCUCAAGUCCAAAUUCUGCAAGUUCAGGCUCAAAUGGGUCCCCUUCUCCCCACCCUUUCUAUACCUUCCCUGGUCCAGGUCUUCAUCUCCUGCCAGUACCAUAGCAACUGUCUCUUGAUUGGUUUUCCCAAAUCUAGUUUAAUCCCUCAAUUCUGUACUUCACAAGGUUGGAGGAUGUAAUUUUUUCCAAAAUGCUACAUUUGCCCUCGGCUUAUGUCGCUUUACCACAUCAACAUCACCAACAGGAUAAUAUAUGAGUUUGGAAACUUUUAAUACCUGCCCCCUGCAACACACACUCACACACACACACUCACACACACACACACACACACACACACCUGGCUUGGGUACUUUCUCCAUCUCAUCUUUUGUCAUCUUCUUAUGAUGUCAAAUUGGCAGAGCCUCCCACCCAAGCCUUGGUGGGGACACACCCCAGUGCCUUUUCUCCUACCGUCUCCUUUUCCUGAUGGCCUCUCUUAACAAGUUUUUGACUGGUUAUCUCCGAAUUAUCCUCCAAAAUGCAGCCCAGCAGUAUCUUUCUCUAGUAACCCUUCCUGAACCUCUCCUCCACCAAGCCGUGUUUAAUGACCCCCCUUAAUGCCUAUGAAUCUCUGCAAGUUGUAUGAUGAUUAGAAAGUCUUUCUCUUCUUGUUUGCUAUUGUUUGAAUUCCCAGAGCUUAGCAGAGUGCUGGGCUCAGAGUAAAUACUUCAUAAAUAUCUGUUGAGUAAGAAAAUAAUAACCUAACUGAAAAUGUACAAAGGACCUGAAUAGACAUUUGCCCCCAAAAGACUAAAGUGGACAACAGGUAUAAGAAGAGACGUUCCCAUCAUCAAUCGUCAGGAAAAUGCAAGUUAAAACCACAAAGAGUGUCACUUUACACCUGUCAGAUGGCUAUUAUCAAAAAGAUAAAUGAAAGCAAAUUUGGGUGAGGAGGUGGAGAAAAGGGAACCCUAAUACACAACUGGUAUGAAUGUAAAUUAAUACAGCCAUGGCGGUAAACAGUAGGGAGAUUCCUCCAAAAAAAGUUCAAAAUGGAACCACUAUAUGAUCCAGAAUUUCCCACUACUGGGUAUGUAUCCAAAGGAAAUGAAAGCAGAAUGUGGACGAUACAGCUUCACUUGCAAGUUCAUUGCACCAUUACUUACAAUAGUAUGAUAUGGAAUCAUUCUAAGUGUUAAAUGAUGGAUCAAUGGAUAGAGGAAAAUGUGGUAUACAUGGGACACAUACUGGAAUACUAUUACUCAGCUUUUAAAAGGAGAAGGAUCCCGCCAUUUGCAACAGUCCGGGAGAACUUGGAGGACAUUGUGUUAUGUGAAAUAAGCUAGGGGUGGAAAGACAAAUACUGCCUGCUCUCUCACACAGGGAAUCUAUGAAAGCCAAAUGCAUAGAAGCCGAGAGUAGAAAGGUGGUUAGUAAGGGCUAGGAGUGGGGACAGGGGAAAGGAUAUGACAUUUCAGCACAGAAGGAGGAAUAAAUGCAAGAGAUCUCUUCUACAUCAUUGGGACUUAUAUCUAAUAACAGGGUAUUCAGUGCUUGCAAAUUGCUGAGAGUAGGGUGGUGUGCCUGCCUGUAAUCUCAGUGACUCAGGAGGGUGAGGCAGGAGGAUCACAAGUUCAAGGCCAGUCUCAGCAACUUAGCAAGACCCUUUCUCAAAAUAAAUAAAUAAAUAAACAUAAAGGGCUGAAGACGUAGCUCAGUGGUAGAGCACAUCCAGAGAUCAAUCCCCAGUACUGCAAAAAAAAAAAGGGGGGGGGGGAAUUGCUGAGAGUAGAUUUUAAAUGUUCUCACUACAAAAAAAAAAAAAGAGUGUGAAGUAAUGCAUAUGCUAGUUAUCUUCAUUUAGCCACUAGACAACAUAUGCAUAUUUCAAAACAUCAUGUUGUACACCAGAGACGUUCAUGAUUUUUAUCAAUUCAAAAAUAAAUAAUUAAAAUGAAAAUAUUGUUGAAUUUAAUGAAUGUAUGAAUACUAGGUAUACCUGUCUACUGGGCUGUAUGACAAAUCUGGCUCAUUCAUUAAAAUACUAUUAUGUUCAGAGUGUCCAGCUGAUGGAUUCAAGGCAGGAGGCAGAAUCCUAGGAGGAGUUAAGUCACAGAGAGCCUACGCCCUAGAAGAACUCACAGUCAAGUAGUGAGACAGGUAUAUAAAACAAAAUUAUAGCAUGAUGUGAUAAGUACUAUAAUAGAGGUAUGCAUAAACUACUAAUGGAAUCUAAAUUAUCCUGCACAUUACUCUGUCAUUUUAAAUAUGUAGCAGAUUGAGUUCAAGAUAAAUGCAUCGAGUAGGCCAUAGGAGACUCCAGACUCCAGGCAAGAGAAGAUAAAGUUUAAAGUAAUCUCCCUGAAUAUAGGAGUCCUGGCUACCAGCACAGAUAACCAUCUUGCCUGGUUAUGGUUUGGACGGCUCAAUGGCCAGUGUUGAAGUCUUGGUCACCAACCUGUGGCACUACUUAGAAGUAGGAAGUGGGACCUUAUGGAAAAAAGGUCAUUGGGGUAGGGGGGAUGCCCUUGAGAAGGAAGUUGGAACCCUGGCUCCUUCCUCCACCAUGCACUCUUGCCACGGUGUACUGUGCAAGCCACAGGUCAAAGUAAUGUGGCCAAGUGAUAAUGGACUUAAACAUCUAUAAGUGUGAGCCAAAAUAAAACUUUCCUCCUUUAAGUUAAUUUUCUCAGGUAUUUUGUCAUAGUGUCAGUAAACUGAAUAACACAGGGGUGAAUUUCCUUAUGUGUAAGGCUUGGGGAAUUUAGAGGAGUGAUCAUUUUGCUGCCCAAAGGUGCCAUAUGAACUGGGCUAAGGGACAGUUGAGCUAGGGCCUCUGAAGAGACUGGAGGGAAGCCCCAAGUCCACACAGAUACCCUGCCACGCCCCUGCAUAACCACAGAACCAGUCACAGUGGAAGGUUCUGGAAGGUGAUGGCCACAGGUAACAAGUGAAUGCUGAGAAGGAAAUGGGGAUGUCGGGGCCCAGAGUCCUGGAGGUCAUGCUGAACAGGUCUGAGGGAGUGCAGUUUCAUUCUGACACAAGGCAGAAGCCUCCCAGCUACUGUACUAAGUAAACAACUACCAAUACAUCCCAAUGACCUUAAGCUUCACGACCAGCUAAGCCAGCAGGACUAGUCCAUACCCACUCACCCUCUUCGACUGCAGAGACCUUCUCGAAUGGUCUAUUCCUCCACAGCCUCAGGAGCUCACUUAACUGGGUCCGUCUUUGGGUAAACAGUCUCACCAUUAAAUUCUCAGAUGAGGGGCUGUCCUCCAGGGGUGUCUGAGACACCUCUGUUCCUCCGCAUCACACAUGGCAAAACUCCCGAUGUUAGUAAGAAUCUCAUGUUGUGUGAAUCAAUCCUGCCAUUGUGCUAUUCUUAGGCAUACCUAGGGGGUCUCUUGGGUUUCCGGAUUAUCAUCUCCCAGCUCCAUCUGCAUUUCCCUAAACCCCGGCUAUCUCUGAAUUAAUAUCACAUUCACUGCCUUCUGAAGCACCCCAAAAGUGUGCACGAGGUCCCGCUGAAGUCCAGGUGCCCGGAGACUAAGAUCUUCCUUCCAGUGGAGUUGAGGGGCUUCCCUGGGAGCCCUGGUCCCCUUGCUGGAAGUGGCUGAGAACUGAGUAAGAAUGAGAUGAUGAACCUAUUUGGGUUAUUUUUGUCACAUUCAAGAGCACUUGUUUUUCUCAGAGGCCACCGUGACUUCCCUGCUUUUUAAAAACUAGAACUUUCAGUGAAGGCCUCUGUCUGAAGUCUGCUGGGUGAGGACAUGUGUGGGUUCCCAGCCACCCAACUAAGUGAACCGGGGCUUGUUUUUUGAGUUGUUGCUGGCUGGAUGGCUAUAUAUCUCUUCAACCACCACAUUGCCCGUGCAUGAGGAAAACCGGUUCCCACCUGCCUUCCUUUUAAUUUCCCACUUGGCUUUUACAGAGGAACGUAGUGUGUGACCAUCUUCUUGGACUCCCUCAGAGAAGCAGAGCUCUCUGUCAGUAUGUUUCAAGCUACCUUAAAAAGGCCAAAGAACUCCUCCUGUUUACAGGCAUGACAUUGAGUCACAUUAUUUAAAGAGUUUAGAUUAAAGGGGGAAAAAAAUGUUGAAGUCUGUUAGUUCAACCUCUUCAUCUUCCAGAUGAGAAAAUUAAAGCUCAGAGAGAUUGUGCAACUUGCCCCAAGUCACAGAGCUAUGAAUGCAGGGCAAACAUCAGAAUGUAGAUUUCUUAACAACCAGGCCUGUGUGUUUUCACUUAUUUUUGAAUUACACUUUUUUUUUUUGUAUCCAAGUUCUAGAAUUUUCAAGUGAAUUUCUUUCGUUUGAAUUAGUUUGGAAGUCACUUGAUUAUGUGAGAUCUGAUGAAAUUGUUAAAGAGAAACUGUCUGCCCAGAAAAACCAUUUUGAGACUGUCAGAUUUCACAUUUUGUACAUCCUAAUAAUCAGAAAUGUGUAAUUUUUUUCUCAUAAUGUAACUCAGACAUUUCAAAAUAGACUUUUAUAUCCAGAAUUAAUCAUUAAAAUUACAAAAAUAUUCUAAACUGGCCAAUCAGCACAUUCCAGUUCCAGGGUUUUGAAACUCUAGUGUGACAUUCAUCAUAAGGACAACAGUCAGUUAAGCUAUGGCUGUUUUGUUUUAGCAGUUUGUACAGAAAAACAUGACUCAUGUAUAGUCAUAUACAUGAAUGGCACUUUGUUGAUUUUCUACCUAAUGCUUCUAUUGUUUGUUGGAGAAGUUGUUGAAGUCACUAAAAAUAAUAACUGUGCAUUAGUCUAUUUCUCCUUUUAGCUUUAUUAGUUUUUGCUGCAUGUUUUUUGAGGCUUAGUUGUUUGGUUCAUACUUGUUAGAAUUGCUAUGUCUUCCUGGUGGAUUAACCAUUUUAGAUAUGUGAUGUGCUUCUUUGUUGCUAGUAAGCUUCUUUGUUCAAAUAAACUAUACUUCAUGUUAUAUACCAAAGCCAUUCUUUUUAAAAAUCAAGACUUAUAUGUAUGAUAUUUCAUCACAUAAUUGUUGCAGAUUUUCUAACAAUUUUUUUGUUUGCUAAAAGGAGGUACCAUUAUAUGAAACAUUUUUUAAUUGUGUCAGUACUAUUACAAAUCAUUUAUUAUUAAAUCUCUUUGAUGAAAGAUUAGGAUGCAUGGGACACGUGUGAAUAUACAUUAAUACAGUGACUACAGUUAUGCUGUAAAAUAUGGUAUUUUUCAUUACUUUUACUGUCAAUCUGUUUUGUUUAAAUUAAAAUGAGUUUCUUGCGUACAGCAUAUAGUUGAAACAUGUUCUUUGUGUUUUGUUUGUCACUGUUCCAAUAUCUGCCUUAUAAUUGGUAUAUUUAGACUAUUUGUAUUUAAGGUAACUGCUGAUAGUUUAAUUCUCUGUCUUUGAAUUAUCUGUUCUACUGCUUCAUGUUUCUUAUAUCUCUGGUCUCACCUUCCUUUGUGCUACUUGAACACUUUUUAGGAUUCCAUCUUGAGUUAUUUAUAGUGUCUUUGUACCUCAUAUAAUUCUCCUAGUGGUUGCUCUGAGUGUGAACAUAUAUACAACCUAUUGCAUUCCCCUGAUCUAAAAUUUGACCACUUCAAGGGAAAUAGACACCUUACUUCUAAGUUAAUUCUCUCACUUUUCCUAUUUUCAAAUACCAUAGCCUUGGCUCUCAGAGCACAAUUUUUCAUAUCUCUCGUUGUGUACAAAGUAUAUUCACACCAAUUCGUGUCUUCAUGCAUGUACUUUGGAUAAUAAUGAUCAUCACAUUCCACCAUCAUUUCUGACCCCAUACCCCCUCCCUUCCCCUCCAACUCCUCUGCCCUAUCUACAGUUCGUCAAUUCCUCCUAUGCUCCCGCUCCCUACCCCAUUAUUAUUAUCCUAUGCUCCCGCUCCCUACCCCAUUAUUAUCUUUAGCUGUUUUUUUAAGGGUAGGUCUGCUAGCAACCCAACCUUUUAGUUUCCUUUCACCUGAGAGUGUCUUCAUUUACCUUUGACUUCUGAAGAACAGUUUCAUAAGAUAAAGGAUUCGUCCUAGGUUCUUCUAGCACUCACUGUAGGCUGAGCCAUUUCCUUCCGGUGGCCAUGGUUUCAAGUGACAAGUGUGCAGCUAUUUACAUCUGUGCUCUCCUACAGUUAAGGUGUCCUUGGGAGGGCUGCUUUCGGAAGUUUGUUUUUAGUUUUCAGAAGUUCAGGUAUGGUGUGCUUAGCCGUAUUUGAACAUUUUUCAGUUUCUUAAAUCUGUAGGUUUAUGUCUUUCACCAGUGGGGAGUUUUUAGUCAUUAUGCUUUUUUUUCCCCCAAAAUACUCUUUGAGCCUCACUCUUUUUCUAUUCUAUUGUGGGACUCCAAUGGUAUGAUUUUUUUCCCCUCUUUUUUUCUUUCUCCAUAGUCCUCCAUUGUCUUGCUGUUGUUGUGUGGGGUUUUUUUUUAGUCUAUUCUCUCUCUGAUUUGAUUCUUUGAUUCUGUGCUCUGUGUUUCUAUCCUGCUACGGUGAAGUUUUUAUUUCUGUCAAUAUAUUUUUUAAGUUUUUUUCUCAUAAUGUAACUUCUCUUCUAAUUCCCAUUGGGUCUUUUUUUUAAUAAGUUCUAUUUCCUCAAUGAUCUUUUCCAUUUUUCAAUUGUUUCAAGAGAUUCAUAAUGGCUCAUUGAGCUUUAGUUGUAUAAUAACUGCCUUGAAGUCUUCAUCGGAUAAGUCUAGCAUUCAACUCAUCUGUGUGGUGUUCACUGAUUGCCCUUUUUGUUGUUGUUCUCAUUCCAGAUGUUAUUUUCAGCUGGGCAAGGUGGCUCAUGCCUGAAAUCCUAGCAACUCUGGAGUCUGAGGCAGGAGGAUCCCAAUCUCAAGGCUAGCCUUAGCAAUUAAGUGAGACCCUGUCUCAAAAUAAAAUAAAAAGAUCCAGGGUGUGACUCAGUGGUAGAGUAUUCCUGGGUUACAUCUCUGGUACCUAAUAAUCAUAAUAAUGUGAUGUUUCCUCAUUCUUGACAUGACAGCUGCUUUUUUAUUACAUUCUGGACACGUUGGCUAUCGUCUUAGGAGACUCGGUGUUAUAUUUGAAUCUUGUAGUUAUCCUGCACAGGGAUCCUGACCUGACUUCUGUAGGUCAAUGUUCGGAUGAUCAUUUAAUUUUCUGAGCCUUUUUGCUAUACUGUUUUGAUCUGCUUGACUUAUAAAGUGUCCCUGGGGCCCCUGGUGUGACAACCAAAACAGUCUCCGGAAAUUAUCAAAAAUCCCCUGGGGAGAAAAAUCACUCCUAGUUGUGAUCCAGUAGAAUUCAGCUUUCACAGCUUGCGACAGGCCACGCCUCCGCAGAGAGGUAAGAUUCUCCUGCAAGGCUCAGGGGUGGACCUUGGGAUCUUCUCCUGUGUUUUCAGGCAUUAGCCCCCUUCCCUGGGGAGAGGAAAAGGCUUUCUCUGCCUCCUCCUCCUCCAUCUGCCCACACUUGAACUCAAUGAGGAUGCUGAUAAGUGGAUCCUAUCAGAGGGCAGGAUUGGAUUUCCUGCAAAAUCCACCUCAGAUUAAUCCAGCCCUUGACACACAAAUGGCUUUUAUUAAGGACUUGCAGCUCUCAACUUUCAAAGUGGAAUCUUUCUAGAAUCAAAUACAUAUACUUACAUUCAGCAGUAAGAUAUGCUGCCAGAGAUCAUUAUCAGAUACAUCCUUUAUUGCUUUUUAGUUGGUUCUCUUCUUAUUUGUAUAUUGCUGAAAUGACAUCACAUGACCUUUCGCAAGAUUUUGCUUUUCUGCCUGGAAACAUGGGGUAGUGUUUCAUAAAAACAAGGAACAGGUCGCAGGGCUAAUAAAAAAAAAUCCCCUUAUCUUGAAAAACAAAAACAAGUUUAAAAAAAAAACUGCCCGAUGGUUCACUGCAGAGUUGUUUUGGUUAAUCAUUUACUGCCCAGUGAAUAAAAAAAACACGCCAUCCUGAAACUGUGCGAAAAGAGGAGGAAGCCUUACAGAUCACUUGUUUACGAAAAGGUCUCACAUGCUUUUUCUGCCUUCCUCGGAUUCUGUGUUAUUGCAUUUUAAUUAUUCAUCUGGAAUGGCUACACAUGCCUCGGUUGGUCAGGGCUUGCGGAUGCUCACUAAGCAUCCCCCCCCCCCCGUCUCUCUAGAGUGCUUAUGGUGUUUUGGGCUAAUCAAAGUGAUCUCAAUUUGUUUUAUGAGUACCCAAAAUAUAUUAGAUAAAAUAAAAACAGCCCUUCUUUCUU